GCAGACCCAGAAAAGCUAAUUCUGAUAAUCAGGUCGUGAAGGAGGCAUCAGCUGCUUCAUCCACACCCAAACGGAGAGGAAGGAAACCGAAGCUGCAAGGAUCAGGGGAAAUACAUUGUGAUAAGAGGGAGCAGCACCCACCUUUGAGAGGGCCUUCUGGUAGAUAUCUAACUAGGAGUUCAAAGGUUUGGCUUCUGGGCAAAGUGUUGGGCCUUGAAUUUGAGGGUUCCGAUGAAUCUGCUAUCUCUUCUCUUGAAAGCGAUUUAGGAGCUUUUUUAUCCCCUUUUGCUUCUGGUGAUGGAGAAGAUCUGGCUCUCCUGGAACGUCAGAGGGCUGUGCAGUGCAGAGAAGCGGAGGAGUGUCAAAGAGCUGGUCAAGAGAGCACAGUCGGAAUUGAUUCUGUUUCAAGAGACGAAGUUAGAAGCACAGAAAGAGAAGUUUGCACUUAAUUUUGCAAAUUCUCUUAAUUAUGAAUGUGUAGUUGUUAAUGCCACUGGAACUGCUGGAGGUCUCCUAACGAUGUGGAAAGCUUCUACUUUCACCCUAAUCCGUGUCUACAAUGGAGAUAGGUACUUAAUUAUUGAGGUCAAAGACAACAAUCUCAACAUCAAUCUGAUGAUAGGUAAUAUAUAUGGGCCACACAAUGAAGAGGAGAGAGAGGCAUUGUUCUCAGAGAUUGGAAAUGUGAUGCAGAACCGGGAGUGUGGUUGGAUUCUUGGGGGUGAUUUCAAUGCUACCCUCAAUGCUGAAGACAGAAGUGGAAGGCUGGGAGGGAUGGAAGUUUCUUUUUCAAGUUUUGUCAAUGACUGGAAUUUGAUAGAUUUGCCUUUGCAAAACUCAGAAUAUACCUGGUUCAGUUCAAGAAACGGAGGAGUCUGGAGCAGAAUUGACAGAUGGCUUUUAAACGAAGAAGCUUGGUUGUCCCUUGAUGAAGCCAUUCAACGGGUGGAGAAUUGGGGACUCUCAGACCAUAGAGCAGUAAUUUUAGCCAUGGGACAACAUAGCUCAGGACCAAAACCUUUCUUAUUCUACAACAACUGGUUAUUGGAUAAGGGGAUGGUCAGGCUAUAUAUUGCAGACGAAAUCGAAAGACUUGAAAGUUAAAAUUAAAGGGUGGAAGGGUCACUCCAGAUCACACACAGAGGAGAAGAUUAAAUUGUUGGAAGGUGAACUCCAAGUGGUAAUGGAAAUACUGGAAUCUGUGGGCAUGAAUGAGGAGUUGUGAGCUAAGAAGAGUCAGGUGUUAAGUGGCUUGUGGGAGGGAUACAGGAUUGAAGAGUCCAAAUGGCGACAGAAAUCGAGGGUAAAAUGGCUGAAGGAGGGUGAUAAAAACACAUCAUUUUUUCACUUUGUCAGCAAGUCUAGGAGAGCAAAAAAUCACAUUCACAAACUUAAUGUGAGGGGCAAUGAAGUGAAUGAUCCAGCGGUAAUUAGAGACGAAAUCAGGGCCCAUUUCCAAUCCUUCUUUACUCGUGAAGUGAUGAGGAGACCAAAACUGAAGUGUACCAAUUUGCUUAAAUUGUCCAUGGGGGAUAGGCGAAGGUUAGAGGAGGGUUUCUCUGAGAGUGAAAUAUGGGAUGUCCUCAAGCACUGUGACGGUGACAAAGCGCCGGGACCCGACGGUUUUAACUUCAAUUUCUUCAAACACUUCUGGGCAACAAUUAAGGGUGAUAUACUCAAGUUCUUCGAGGAAUUUCAUGCAAAUGGUAAGCUGGUACGAGGCCUCAACGCGGCAUUAAUUUCCUUGAUACCGAAGAAGCCUUGCCAUGUUGAAGUUGCUGAUUUCAGACCCAUAUGUCUGAUAGGCAGCAUCUAUAAACUGGUGUCAAAGGUUCUUGCAGCACGAUUGCAAAAUGCCAAAGAUAAUCUCUGAAAACCAAUUCGCCUUCACUACGGGGCGUCAAAUAGCCGAUUGCAUCUUAAUCGCAGUGAGACUUUGCCAAAGCUUACGAUUCCAUCGAGUGGAACUUUCUCUUGGAGCUGCUCGCUGAAAUGAACUUCGGCGAAAAGUGGAUUUCGUGGAUUAAAACCUGUGUAACUACUGUCUCUUUGGCUAUCCUGAUAAAUGGCUCAGGAAGGACUGGAAAAUAAUGUGAGCCCAUUUGCUGAGUCUCCCUCUCCCUUAUCUCAAUCCUGCAAUGUUGUUGAUAAGGGGUCAGCAGUAAUUCUGGAAAUCUGAUCGUGAAGGAGGCAUCAGCUGCUUCAUCCACACCCAAACGGAGAGGAAGGAAACCGAAGCUGCAAGGAUCAGGGGAAAUACAUUGUGUUAAGAGGGAGCAGCACCCACCUUUGAGAGGGCCUUCUGGUAGAUAUCUAACUAGGAGUUCAAAGGUUUGGCUUCUGGGCAAAGUGUUGGGCCUUGAAUUUGAGGGUUCCGAUGAAUCUGCUAUCUCUUCUCUUGAAAGCGAUUUAGGAGCUUUUUUAUCCCCUUUUGCUUCUGGUGAUGGAGAAGAUCUGGCUCUCCUGGAACGUCAGAGGGCUGUGCAGUGCAGAGAAGCGGAGGAGUGUCAAAGAGCUGGUCAAGAGAGCACAGUCGGAAUUGAUUCUGUUUCAAGAGACGAAGUUAGAAGCACAGAAAGAGAAGUUUGCACUUAAUUUUGCAAAUUCUCUUAAUUAUGAAUGUGUAGUUGUUAAUGCCACUGGAACUGCUGGAGGUCUCCUAACGAUGUGGAAAGCUUCUACUUUCACCCUAAUCCGUGUCUACAAUGGAGAUAGGUACUUAAUUAUUGAGGUCAAAGACAACAAUCUCAACAUCAAUCUGAUGAUAGGUAAUAUAUAUGGGCCACACAAUGAAGAGGAGAGAGAGGCAUUGUUCUCAGAGAUUGGAAAUGUGAUGCAGAACCGGG
RNAcentral lists this long non-coding RNA (2846 nucleotides) under Lotus japonicus. RNAcentral's name for it is "long non-coding RNA (LJAP_LNC000444)". The record is from RNAcentral. Lineage: Eukaryota; Viridiplantae; Streptophyta; Magnoliopsida; Fabales; Fabaceae.